Molecule: ribosomal RNA, 1241 nt
Filed under: Bacillus sp. SCU-B163
Lineage: Bacteria; Bacillati; Bacillota; Bacilli; Caryophanales; Bacillaceae
Description: bacterial SSU rRNA
Rfam family: Bacterial small subunit ribosomal RNA
Source: RNAcentral
UGCCUGUAAGACUGGGAUAACUCCGGGAAACCGGAGCUAAUACCGGAUAGUUCCUUGAACCGCAUGGUUCAAGGAUGAAAGACGGUUUCGGCUGUCACUUACAGAUGGACCCGCGGCGCAUUAGCUAGUUGGUGGGGUAAUGGCUCACCAAGGCGACGAUGCGUAGCCGACCUGAGAGGGUGAUCGGCCACACUGGGACUGAGACACGGCCCAGACUCCUACGGGAGGCAGCAGUAGGGAAUCUUCCGCAAUGGACGAAAGUCUGACGGAGCAACGCCGCGUGAGUGAUGAAGGUUUUCGGAUCGUAAAGCUCUGUUGUUAGGGAAGAACAAGUGCGAGAGUAACUGCUCGCACCUUGACGGUACCUAACCAGAAAGCCACGGCUAACUACGUGCCAGCAGCCGCGGUAAUACGUAGGUGGCAAGCGUUGUCCGGAAUUAUUGGGCGUAAAGGGCUCGCAGGCGGUUUCUUAAGUCUGAUGUGAAAGCCCCCGGCUCAACCGGGGAGGGUCAUUGGAAACUGGGAAACUUGAGUGCAGAAGAGGAGAGUGGAAUUCCACGUGUAGCGGUGAAAUGCGUAGAGAUGUGGAGGAACACCAGUGGCGAAGGCGACUCUCUGGUCUGUAACUGACGCUGAGGAGCGAAAGCGUGGGGAGCGAACAGGAUUAGAUACCCUGGUAGUCCACGCCGUAAACGAUGAGUGCUAAGUGUUAGGGGGUUUCCGCCCCUUAGUGCUGCAGCUAACGCAUUAAGCACUCCGCCUGGGGAGUACGGUCGCAAGACUGAAACUCAAAGGAAUUGACGGGGGCCCGCACAAGCGGUGGAGCAUGUGGUUUAAUUCGAAGCAACGCGAAGAACCUUACCAGGUCUUGACAUCCUCUGACAACCCUAGAGAUAGGGCUUUCCCUUCGGGGACAGAGUGACAGGUGGUGCAUGGUUGUCGUCAGCUCGUGUCGUGAGAUGUUGGGUUAAGUCCCGCAACGAGCGCAACCCUUGAUCUUAGUUGCCAGCAUUUAGUUGGGCACUCUAAGGUGACUGCCGGUGACAAACCGGAGGAAGGUGGGGAUGACGUCAAAUCAUCAUGCCCCUUAUGACCUGGGCUACACACGUGCUACAAUGGACAGAACAAAGGGCUGCGAGACCGCAAGGUUUAGCCAAUCCCAUAAAUCUGUUCUCAGUUCGGAUCGCAGUCUGCAACUCGACUGCGUGAAGCUGGAAUCGCUAGUAAUCGCGGAUCAGCAU